AUUAUAUCCAAAGUCGACCGAAGCUUUAACAACAUCCAUAAUGCAAUUCCAGGAGGACAGAGAACGUUAGCUAAAAGAAGAGCAGCAAACUUG
This 93-nucleotide unclassified non-coding RNA is filed under the name Komagataella phaffii CBS 7435. The record is from RNAcentral. Lineage: Eukaryota; Fungi; Ascomycota; Pichiomycetes; Pichiales; Pichiaceae.